CUGCAUCGUGAUGGGGAUAGAUUAUUGCAAUUAUUAAUCUUCAACGAGGAAUGCCUAGUAAGCGCGAGUCAUCAGCUCGCGUUGAUUACGUCCCUGCCCUUUGUACACACCGCCCGUCGCUCCUACCGAUUGGGUGUGCUGGUGAAGUGUUCGGAUUGGCGGCAGUGGGCGGUUCGCCGCUUGCUGCAGCCGAGAAGUUCUCUAAACCCUCCCACCUAGAGGAAGGAGAAGUCGUAACAAGGUUUCCGUAGGUGAACCUGCGGAAGGAUCAUUG
RNAcentral lists this ribosomal RNA (274 nucleotides) under Myrmecia israelensis. RNAcentral's name for it is "Myrmecia israeliensis partial 18S ribosomal RNA". It matches the Rfam family "Eukaryotic small subunit ribosomal RNA", at positions 1560 to 1831 of the family's 1831-position model. The record is from RNAcentral. Lineage: Eukaryota; Viridiplantae; Chlorophyta; Trebouxiophyceae; Trebouxiales; Trebouxiaceae.